Molecule: unclassified non-coding RNA, 716 nt
Filed under: Hevea brasiliensis (rubber tree)
Lineage: Eukaryota; Viridiplantae; Streptophyta; Magnoliopsida; Malpighiales; Euphorbiaceae
Source: RNAcentral
UGAUUAUUAAUUCUUUUGGGAAAAGAAGAAUGGGUUUGUUUGCCAAGUUGACAUGACUCACAAUAUAAAGAGGACAAGUUAGAAAGAGAAGGAGCCAAUUUCUGGAGUUUGAAGAUAUUUGGGUGACUUAGACUACCAUGAUGAAGAUCAGGUGAAACGUUAGAACAAAGGCAACUAGGGACUUUAGGUUGAAGAGAUGGUACCGUCCUUGUGACUCACGGCUUAUUGCAAUCAUCUUUCUCGUAUCCUGGUCUUGCAUAAGAAUGAAGUCAGCAAAAAAGGUUACAAAAUACUUUAGAUGUUUAGUUAAUUUAGUAAUGGAUACCGAAUUAUGUGGACAUUCAAGUGCAAAUAAAACUAAAUUGAAUGGUAAGGAAGGAAGGGUGUAUGCUUUACCUAUUCCUUUGACCAUAGUUGUUGAUUCCUUAGCUACGGUAACAUAAAAAAAGAUUGAAGAAGAAUAUAUAAUAGAGAAAAGAGUUUGGUUAUCAGAAAUGUGAUCUAAGGCACAAUCAAGAAUCCAUGACUCAUUAAAUAAAGACUGUGUUGAAAUAAGCAGAUGAAUUACCAGGUUGGACUGUAGAAGCAAUGGAUGAGUAUGCUUAUUGUUUUGCUGCUUGGUACUAUAUGUACAUCAUUGUAAUCAGUUCCACUUAGAAUAAUAGAGUACAGUGAAGUAGCACCUUUUUUGCACUUUUUUUUUAUUAUUUUUUUAA